AGAGUUUGAUCAUGGCUCAGAGUGAACGCUGGCGGUGUGCUUAACACAUGCAAGUCGAACGAGAACGGUACUAGCUUGCUAGUAUGUCAGCUAAGUGGCGGACGGGUGAGUAAUGUAUAGUUAAUCUGCCCUUUAGAGAGGAAUAACUACUGGAAACGGCAGCUAAUACCUCAUACUCCUUUUGCCUUAAUGGUGAUUGGGAAACGUUUUUUCGCUAAAGGAUGAGACUAUAUGGUAUCAGGUAGUUGGUGGGGUAAGAGCCUACCAAGCCAAUGACGCCUAGCUGGUCUGAGAGGAUGAUCAGCCACACUGGAACCGAGACACGGUCCAGACUCCUACGGGAGGCAGCAGUGGGGAAUAUUGCACAAUGGAGGAAACUCUGAUGCAGCAACACCGCGUGGAGGAUGACACAUUUCGGUGCGUAAACUCCUUUUAUAUGGGAAGAUAAUGACGGUACCAUAUGAAUAAGCACCGGCUAACUCCGUGCCAGCAGCCGCGGUAAUACGGAGGGUGCAAGCGUUACUCGGAAUCACUGGGCGUAAAGCGCGCGCAGGCGGCCAUUUAAGUUGGAUGUGAAAGCCUACGGCUCAA
Molecule: ribosomal RNA, 591 nt
Filed under: uncultured bacterium
Lineage: Bacteria
Description: bacterial SSU rRNA
Rfam family: Bacterial small subunit ribosomal RNA
Source: RNAcentral